AGAUUGAACGCUGGCGGCAGGCCUAACACAUGCAAGUCGAGCGGUAGAGAGGUGCUUGCACCUCUUGAGAGCGGCGGACGGGUGAGUAAUGCCUAGGAAUCUGCCUAGUGGUGGGGGAUAACGUUCGGAAACGGACGCUAAUACCGCAUACGUCCUACGGGAGAAAGCGGGGGACCUUCGGGCCUCGCGCCAUUAGAUGAGCCUAGGUCGGAUUAGCUAGUUGGUGAGGUAAUGGCUCACCAAGGCGACGAUCCGUAACUGGUCUGAGAGGAUGAUCAGUCACACGUGGAACUGAGACACGGUCCAGACUCCGUACGGGAGCAGCAGUGGGGGAAUAG
RNAcentral lists this ribosomal RNA (338 nucleotides) under uncultured soil bacterium. RNAcentral describes it as "bacterial SSU rRNA". It matches the Rfam family "Bacterial small subunit ribosomal RNA", at positions 26 to 364 of the family's 1533-position model. The record is from RNAcentral.